GAACGCUGAAACCGGAGCUUGCUUUGGUGGAUGAGUGGCGAACGGGUGAGUAACACGUGGGUGAUCUGCCCUACACUUUGGGAUAAGCCUGGGAAACUGGGUCUAAUACCGAAUAUUCACACCACCGUAGGGGUGGUGUGGAAAGCYUURUGCGGUGUGGGAUGAGCCUGCGGCCUAUCAGCUUGUUGGUGGGGUAAUGGCCUACCAAGGCGUCGACGGGUAGCCGGCCUGAGAGGGUGUACGGCCACAUUGGGACUGAGACACGGCCCAGACUCCUACGGGAGGCAGCAGUGGGGAAUAUUGCACAAUGGGCGCAAGCCUGAUGCAGCGACGCCGCGUGGGGGAUGAAGGCCUUCGGGUUGUAAACUCCUUUCGCUAGGGACGAAGCCUUAUGGUGACGGUACCUGGAGAAGAAGCACCGGCUAACUACGUGCCAGCAGCCGCGGUAAUACGUAGGGUGCGAGCGUUGUCCGGAAUUACUGGGCGUAAAGAGCUCGUAGGUGGUUUGUCGCGUCGUCUGUGAAAUCCCGGGGCUUAACUUCGGGCGUGCAGGCGAUACGGGCAUAACUUGAGUGCUGUAGGGGAGACUGGAAUUCCUGGUGUAGCGGUGAAAUGCGCAGAUAUCAGGAGGAA
This 633-nucleotide ribosomal RNA is filed under the name Corynebacterium glutamicum. RNAcentral's name for it is "bacterial SSU rRNA". It matches the Rfam family "Bacterial small subunit ribosomal RNA", at positions 64 to 706 of the family's 1533-position model. The record is from RNAcentral. Lineage: Bacteria; Bacillati; Actinomycetota; Actinomycetes; Mycobacteriales; Corynebacteriaceae.